This is a non-coding RNA of Pelobates cultripes (western spadefoot toad), 276 nucleotides long. The record is from the annotation of a GenBank genome assembly. NCBI's taxonomy places the organism in Eukaryota, Metazoa, Chordata, Amphibia, Anura, Pelobatidae.
GUCUGUAUUAUGGCAACUUACAUUGCCCCUGUUGGGGGCUGGGAGCAAGCUGUUACUUACCUUUACAGCAGCUCCUGUCAGCUCCCUUCUCCUCCGUGCUGUUCAGCUCCACUGUAAGUCUCACGAGAGCUGCAGCCGUCAGAGCGUUGCCACUGAUCACCGUGGCAACGCUCCGCAUGGCACGCAGACAGCGAGAUUUACAGUGGAGCUGAACGGCACAGAGGAGAAGGGAGCGGACAAGAGCUGCUGUAAAGGUAAGUAACAGCUUGCUCCCAG